RNAcentral lists this long non-coding RNA (487 nucleotides) under Brassica napus (rape). RNAcentral's name for it is "long non-coding RNA (BNAP_LNC026670)". Lineage: Eukaryota; Viridiplantae; Streptophyta; Magnoliopsida; Brassicales; Brassicaceae. The record is from RNAcentral.
GAAGGUAAACAGAAGAUGCAUUGGAGCGACGGUGGAAGGUCUACGGUGGUCGGUAGAGAGGGAUGCAGCGUAGAGAGCAGAUGCAUCGGUUCAAGAUUCUUAUUCGGUGAAUUGAAGUGACGUUACAACGCGGCAGAGAGGAGGCUUUUCAGCGGAGAGGAUGUUUAGAUUGUAAAACAAGCGGAGACACAACAGAGGCAAAGAGAUGUGAAGAUCUGGUGACAGGAGGAGAAGGCUUACGCAGCGGAGAUGUCAAAAAUCCUAUCUUCCAGGGAGAAUAAAAAAUUUGGAUUUUAGCUUGAGUGGAGGAUUUCCUGUGUCGGCAUAUGCUCAAAUUUACCGUGUGAGCAACUCUUCAAUUUCAUAGCGUUAGUUGUAAUACUUAGUGAUCGAAUCUAAUGGGACAUGAAUCACUCAAUAAAAUUGGGUUAUCAUCAGAAUAGUUCUAAUACAUAAAUUAAAACUGUUGUAAACGAUGGAAGAAAGC